GUUCACUUUGAUGCCAUCUCUUGCCAACAAUUUGGCGUUCAAAAACGUCGCCGCACUUGUGGCACGGCCAAAGUUUGGGUCUGGCUAUCUCUAGAAAUGAAAGAAACAAGACCAAAAACGGAUCUAGCUACAAGGGUACACUAGCACAAAAACGCAAAAUUUCAGAAGCAUGAUAUCUAGCCGUCUCUAUGAAGUUUUGAUAACCGUCUGAAAAUUGCUUUCCUGCAGUAGUAGUAGUCUUUAAAUUCGACUAAGUUUAGUGUCCACAGUUAAGCACAAUUAUUAUAUAAUACUAUGAAAUUAAAUUUCAUGAAUAAUCUAACAAUACUUAUUUGAUAUCAUAUAGAUCUUAAUAAUUUAUUAUAAAAAUCGGCUAAGUUAAAGGUAGUUUGACUUAAAACUGCAGCUAUAAGUGAACACUUUUUAGGACAUAAGUACCGAUUGUUUCCCUAAAUUUCAGCACUAUCGUGUCAACAAGAAAGUAUGUUUCUUGCAGUGAAAAAAAGGAAAAAAAAUUAAAAAUGAGUCGAUGAUUGGAUAAAAUCAUAUAAAUAUGAUCUAAUGUGUAUAAAAUUAUUUCAGGUGAAUAAUAUAGGUUUUUGAUGCGUAUUAAAAGUGAAACAUUUCAUGUGUGUGUAUACACACGUGUUGAAUGCGAUUAUAUUGUUGUCAUGUUUAUAUCUCAGCCCUGUCGUUUUAGUUUGGCUCUCUGGGGCCCGGCUCUAGAAAGCUCAGGAAUCGAGAUGCUGAAAACAUCUCGGGGAGAUCAAGAAAUUAUUAUCCAAAAUAAUGGAGGGCUGCUUCUGGUGCCAUCGUCCAUCGUCGACAACAACGGAGCCUCGUCUUAGCCAAUGGGAACGAGAAAAACAAGCACACCGAUCGUUUUCUUCCUCUGCAUCAUGAACGAUCGUGUCUGUGUGUCAUCUAUCCCCGUCACAGCAGCACUUUCUGACGAACGACGAGGAGUUGCAGCAGCUAUCGGAGAUACUAGCAGAGUACAGUGCAUGUAGCAGCGGC
This 1017-nucleotide long non-coding RNA is filed under the name Sorghum bicolor (sorghum). RNAcentral describes it as "long non-coding RNA (SBIC_LNC003631)". Lineage: Eukaryota; Viridiplantae; Streptophyta; Magnoliopsida; Poales; Poaceae. The record is from RNAcentral.